AUCGCCCCUCAUGUACCUGAAGGUCCGCAUUGCGCUUGGAUGAGGCGGCGGCGUUCCCCGCUUCGGACUUUGCCGUGUGUGUUCUGCAUCCCUUGCGGGGGCUGUUGAGCGAGACGGUCUCCUAUCUUUGUCAGUGAUCCUCCGAAUGACCCGAGUCGUGACCCCCGUUGGCGACAUGUCGUCCGUGGGUGGGGGUGAGGACGCAUCUCUCCAGAAAACGAGUUUUUUCGUCGGGUUUCGCGUGGUGCAUAUUCUUUGCCUGUGUUGUGGAUAUGUGCGCCUAAACACGAAAGAGAUGCAUAUGACUAUUCUGUGUCGUGGACGAGCCUUGUGCUUGCGUGAGUCGGGUGCAGGAGCACGGUGAUCUCCCACAACCAAGGGCAUGAUCGAGUAGCUGAUAUUCAGUAGUCAUGUCACGAAUGUGUGAUUGUCGUGACAAGAAGGUAAGCAAACGGGGACAAGUGGUGGAACGUGCGAUACGUUUGGGGCCAGUGUGCAGAAAGGGUCAGAGAAGUAGUGUUGUCGGUUCUAUCCGAUGAAGAGGGAACCGGCACGCGCCAGACGCCGGCAGCAUCAAUGAAGCUGACUAGUUACUAGUCCGACUAGCCUAGAUGGAGUGUAUGCGUGCUGUGCACCUCCACAGCGUGUUGCGUUACUCGACUUUACGGAAUCACUGUGUUGUUGGGGCUCGUUGUAGAAAUGUAUGACAAGGACAUUGUGGUGUAUCUGGCAACUGCUGAGGCGACAAUUAUCAAAAGACGGUGUCACUCAUGGGCGUUGGUACGCUUUUGACAAUGCCGCCAAUCCCAGGGGGCUCAUGACAUCUGUCCAGUCGCUUCAAUCGAUGGCAGUGCGCAUUGGGCUCGGCUGCGAGGGAUGCUUGGGUCACAGUACCGUCCCCCAAUACUCCACGACUGGCUGCGCGGUACCACAAGGAGGCAGCAGGAAACGUAGUCUGCGCUGAGUCAGAAGUCGUCUGUAUCGGCGAUGGCCGGGAGCCUCGUCGGCCGAUGCUACUCGUCAUGAUAGAAGUGCGCGCGUUGUGGGGCCGCCUAGAGGAUGGCGCGUGGUUUUUCUUGUUAUGCAUUGACUUAGGAGCUUGAGGGAGAGGUCAAGGCCAUCAGCGACAUGUUGAACGGAUUGUGGACGAUCUAGAGGAGUGGGUGCCUCCAGGGAAGCCGGAAGGCACAGUGCACCUAUCUCAACUGCAGAAAUGCAGACACGACGUAUUGGGUUGACACGAGUCGCGUACUCCGUGUCAAGGGCUUCUAGCUGUCAUGAAAAAGACACUGGCCAGCGUUAGCAACCCCGAGACGAGGCAACUUAGGGUUGGCAGGACGGUAGACAGCAUCACAGCGGCGGCCCGGUGCCGGACUGGGAACUAGACCCAGUACCCCGGGUGCGUGUGUAGGACGAGUUAGACAGCUAAGUUAUUUUUUGUAUAACGCGGUUGUGACGGUGACGUGGAAUCUUUGUUGAGCUUGCGUGUAGCUGAUGAGACUGAAUCAAUAUCCACUGCUUGGCGCAUCCGCUGCCUCUCUUGAUGUGUCGUAGCAUGUUGUGAACGGGCGGGAAGGAGAGUGCAAGACCGAUUGUGUUGUGUCUACUGGGUGUGUUGUAUGCAACGUGUCGUGCCGGGUGAAGGCCCCCUGCUGGGGAUGUGGUAGCUGUUUCGAGAGCCUCCAUGCUUGUUACCGAUGAAGACGCUGUCGGCUUACCGACCAAUCUGUCCGGUGCUCGCACCCGGUGGCAUACGUCGGUGGUGUGGACCCCUGAGAAGAACGGUCUUUUCACGUGGUUCGUCUUUAGCUGGGAAAACCCAUAGGAAACCUGCCGUGACGAGACGUCAUGGCUGUCCUGGAUCUUCUUACAUUGAUGGAUGGCGGCCAUCGUGGCGACGUCGUCUCAGACCUCGGCAUCGUAAGGGCAGUAAUGAAACGGGGAACGUUCUCAAACGUGCGUACGCGGGUGCCGCUUCAGAUGUUGAGGCAGUGUGCGGUUCUGCAGUCGUAUGCGAGCAGGCCGAAUACGUUGUGGCAAGCCGCUGUCUCAAGUGUUACCUCGCAAAAUCGGUCACGGGUUUCAGCAGUAGCAGACGGUACGCAGGGACAUGUUAGUGGCGACAGACUGUCACUUGCAUAGAAGGAGAAUAUGGCGAUGGAACCUGUCCAGGGCUGCCACGGCGUGUAGUCAGUGCCGGGGCUAAAGCAGAUGCGAAGGUGCCGGUACUCAAAUGUUAACGCGAAAUCGCCCCUUUCUUCCUGCGUAGACUUAGCAUCCGCUCAGCACAUGCCACGCGGCGUUCCUGUAGACGCGAUGAUUGUUUCGAAUUUCCCUUUCUCCGAAUGAUUUCGACUGCGUCUCCGCGGCAUCGAAGGCUGCGCCUCGAGGUGGGCCUAGGCGUGCAUGAGAUUCUCUUAUCUACCGUGUUGUCACCGCGGGUCUCCUCAGGUGAGCCCAAUGUUUGCCACCAAGCCAGUAUGGGGCGCCAUGAUUUGGACAAGAAGUUGUUUCAUUGUUGGUGGUGUCCUGUCGUUUCCAAAUAGACAGGAGACAACUGUCUCGGUAAUUGUUACAGACUUCAUUUCUGACGUGCAUACCGCUUUACUCGCUCCCUCCCAUAUCGCCGUUCCUUGUCUCCGUCUUUGUCUCGGCUGCCGUGAAAGCGAUGGAUCUUUUACCCUCAGUUUUCAUUUUAAUGUCAAAGUUUCAAGGGCACUACAAAAGGUGGUCAUCCCCUUUGCAAGUCUCCUGGCAAUACCGUGUGACCUGCGUAGAACCGAGGCAGUCGCCAUUCCACUGUACCUGUCGCGACGAAGAAGGUAGGUAGCAGUCAGUCAUGGGGGUCCGUUUGCGGCGGACACGAUGGCGAAGAGACACCCGAGAUUGACAGUCGGUGUGAGGAUAUCUGGUUUGCUAGUCGAUGUUGUCUGUACUGGAUGUGUUAUGAGUCGUACCUGGACCACGGGGAGAGGCAUUAUGAUGCUUUUUUCGCGCGAUGAGGCCAUUUCACGCAUACCACACAGUAAAUUGCCUGAACGUAUUGUCUUUCAUUUUGUAUUAAUGACGGAGUAAUACUCAACUGUCGCUGGGCGGAGGCAGUGGAUCUGUAGUUGCUCGUAUUCCCUUGCGCCUGGCAAAGGCCACCAAAGCGUGUUUUGAAGAGAUUUGAGAACUGUGGUGCCGCAUCUUUAAAACAUCAAAGCCGAUGUGAAGAACCGCGUACUGUUGGUAGCCUCAGGUGCUCCAGGAUAACUCCUUCGCGUGGGGUGGGCAUGUCCUGAACUCCUGCAGGCUAAGUAAGUAGGAAGAGGUGAAGUGGGGUCAUGCCGCACAGUAGCCACGUUGCUGGACAUUUUGCAGAAACCUGCUCCGUGUUUAUCCGCAGAUCGCGGUAUUAUUCGCCACGUAUGCGUGCACUACGGGAUCCGUUAACGAAUGGCCGCACGAGUUCAUCAGACAGUUGAAUACACUCGUGGUGACAAGAACUUUAAAUUUCUGAGGGAGGCCAUGAAUUAUCUGCUGAGGACUACAUGCACACUCCAGAGGAGCAGAUCUGUUGACAUGAUGUACAGUUGUGGUUGACAGCUGUACACGUGUCCCGCGUUAAUUCCGCGGGUGCCCGAAUACUGGUAGACCAUGCCUUUGAAAAACGUAUCAUUCUAAUCUACAGAAGCCACAGCAUCUUGCAACUGCCACACUUGAGUGAUAUUCGUGCGAGCACUGAAUGACAAAAACGCGAAUGUAUACGGAGCUUGUAAACGAUGGACACAGGAGACCACUUGUUGGCACCUCCAACCUAGAGCAGUGGAAUGUGUGAAGAGAGAGGUAGGCGAUUGGUGAAGCGUCCAGAUCGAAAAAGUGCACCUGUUUCGGAUAAUGUUGUUGCGGAAGCUUGUGAUUCACGUGUUGAUGGCACCAAAUUGACGCUGCGAUAUGUUGCCUGUCGUCCUUUGCGUGUGUGGUGAGGUUGUCAAUACAAGCGUUUGUUCGACCCGUGUGUCCUGGCACGUUCGGAGGUAAAUAUAAGUGACGUGGGCUCGGGCCAACAGAGUACCACUGGGGCUUGAGGUCACGACAUGUAGAAGCCAUACACGCAGUGCGAACGUGACGUGGUACUCAUGUGGCUUGUCUUACCGCAAACUGGUGAGCGGGGAAUGUACAGGAGGAGGCACAACUGGCGCUAUGAAAGGCAGUUGCAGCAGAUACUAUGUCACCAUUUGAUAAGAGAAUUCGAAGUAUGCGUCAGUAUUGCCCGCGUCACACUGUGUUACCAGAGCGACCAUGGUAUACUGAGGGGGGCCUCACGGAGACCGGAGCACCCGCAGAUGCUCAGUUCGCCGUUGUCCCUGCACCGCCAAGGAAGCGCAUUCGCCUUCCUGGCAGUGAUGAACUCGAACCAGAUGUUUAUGUUACAGGUUUUACGUCCAAGGAAUGUGGGGUUUUCACAAUUAGAAUAGCGGGGCUUGCGUGAAUGUGGACGUUACCACUCCGUCGACUCGAGUGGGUGCCAAAUUUUUGUGGUUCAUAAUUGCCAUAAUGCUCGGUUUUUCUAAGCGAAAGGCAUCUACGGAAAUGCCGCCGCAGUUCCUGUUUGCUGUAGUGUCAUGGCAGUGACCUCAUAUCCUUUGGUGAGUCAAUCGAGAGCAACAGUCUUCAGUCUCAUUCAUAUCUUCUCGCGUGUAUUUACUGUGGUUGUUGUGUUGUCAGGAAGCUUUUCCUUGAUCUAACUCCAGAGGGAAAUCAGUCUUUAGGCGUAUCUCCAGGAUCCGGAGGACGUGACAAAACACAGGGACGGAACUAAUUGUCGAAAGUUUUUGCUGAGGUUGAGAUUGAUCGUGGUGAAUUAUUCUUAUUUUUACGGAGAUUGUGCGAACAGGGGUGAAACACCUGUCACGCUAGUAUUUUUCUCAUCGCCAAUCAGUCUAGGGAAUGGGCAGAAUCAAUUUUGAUUUUCAUGUCUUGCUCUUCUUCACACCGCCAAAUAUUGCGACAAAGUGGCGAAAAGACGUGCAAAGUUUGUGCUGAAGUAUCGGGGGAUGGUUCGUACAACCCUGAGGGAAAACUCCAUGGUACAGAAGCAGGUACCGUACGCAUUGGCCAUGGGUUCGACUUGAAUAAAACGACCUUCCGUGAGGCAUUUCUCCUUUUCCUGCAAGUUCUUUCACGUGUGAAGUGGACCUACGUCGUGAUGUGCCGUACGGAUGUCAAAAUCGAACAACAUCUACACGCCAUCACUGAGUGUUUAACGCUAUGGAACAUGUUUGAACGAUGUAAUGUCUUCCAACAAAUGCUUGUCCAGCUGGUGAAGACCGCUCCACUUAUUCACGUAUGCGUGCUCGCACGCUUUGCUGCCU
RNAcentral lists this long non-coding RNA (5357 nucleotides) under Toxoplasma gondii VEG. The record is from RNAcentral. Lineage: Eukaryota; Apicomplexa; Conoidasida; Eucoccidiorida; Sarcocystidae.